RNAcentral lists this transfer RNA (76 nucleotides) under Puniceicoccales bacterium. Its description in RNAcentral is "tRNA-Arg". It matches the Rfam family "tRNA". From Rfam's summary of the family: Transfer RNA (tRNA) molecules are approximately 80 nucleotides in length. Their secondary structure includes four short double-helical elements and three loops (D, anti-codon, and T loops). Further hydrogen bonds mediate the characteristic L-shaped molecular structure. tRNAs have two regions of fundamental functional importance: the anti-codon, which is responsible for specific mRNA codon recognition, and the 3' end, to which the tRNAs corresponding amino acid is attached (by aminoacyl-tRNA synthetases). tRNAs cope with the degeneracy of the genetic code in two manners: having more than one tRNA (with a specific anti-codon) for a particular amino acid; and 'wobble' base-pairing, i.e. permitting non-standard base-pairing at the 3rd anti-codon position. Lineage: Bacteria; Pseudomonadati; Verrucomicrobiota; Opitutia; Puniceicoccales. The record is from RNAcentral.
GGGGGAGUAGCUCAGAGGAUAGAGCAGCUGCCUUCUAAGCAGUUGGUCGUGGGUUCGAAUCCCGCCUUCCCCGCCA